Leptidea sinapis is the source of this 440-nucleotide long non-coding RNA. RefSeq lists it as uncharacterized. Lineage: Eukaryota; Metazoa; Arthropoda; Insecta; Lepidoptera; Pieridae. The transcript has 7 exons. The record is from RefSeq and is a predicted model, not a curated record.
GACCUAAAUUAUUCUAUCAGUAUUUGUGAAUCAUUAUAAGUUUAUUAUUUUUAGUUUACCACAGUUAAAACAGAAUCUUCAUCAAGUUCGAACUCCGAGUCAAGUGAAGAUAUUAUUUCUAUGCUGGACAAUCUUUCAAUCGAUUUUGACUCAGAUGAACAAAGACAAGAAAUGAAGAAAUACUACAAAUGGUUACACAAACACGAGGAGAAAAGUGCCGUAGAACUUGCUAAAGAAGAACUAAGCAAUGAAGAAAAGAAUCAAGUCGAGUAUUUUAAGAAUAUUCUUGAUUUUGUGAAGAAGCAAGGAGGAAAGGCAGUAUGAAAUAUCCGUUAUGUUAGUUACUUUUGUUAUAUAGAAAACAUGGCAAAAAAUUUUUCAAAUCAGCAUUUUAGUUCGAACGAAAAUUGGACUAGUAAUAAAAUGUAAUAAUUUUGCAA